UUCAACACAGGGUUCCAAUUUUUCAUAGGCAUUGGUGUAGUAUCGGCUAAUGUUAUAAAUUAUGCUACAGCUAAGCAUAGUUGGGGCUGGCGUCUCUCCCUUGGCCUUGCCAUAGUACCUGCAGCUAUAAUGACAAUCGGAGCACUGCUUAUUUCAGACACUCCUAGUAGCCUGGUAGAACGUGGAAAGCUUGAGCAAGCUCGAAAAUCUCUAAUCAAAGUUCGAGGAAUCGAUACUAAUGUGGAUGCUGAGCUUGCUGAGCUUAUCAAGUCUAGUGAAGUAGCCAAAGCUGCUCAAGAAGAACCUUUUGUGACUAUUUUUGAAAAGCAGUACAGGCCUCAUUUAGUAAUGUCAAUUGCUAUACCAUUUUUUCAACAAGUAACUGGGAUUAACAUAAUUGCAUUUUACGCCCCUGUUCUUUUUCAAUCAGUUGGCUUUGGAAGCAAUUCAUCUUUAAUAGCUGCUAUAAUACUUGGAUUAGUUAAUCUUGCUUCAAUUUUGGUGUCUACGGGUGUGGUUGAUCGUUAUGGUCGAAGAUUUUUGUUCAUAUUUGGAGGGACUCAAAUGUUCAUUUGUCAGGUAUGCUUUUAAUUGAUCAUUGGAACUGAUGUUAAUUAUCUAAUCAUCGAGUUUUUAUGCAGUAAUACUAUAUUAAAGCAUCUUCAAGAUUAUGAGAUUUAAUGUUUAAAUCCCAAUUUGAAUUAUAUUUAACUCAGCGACAUUUCAUGUAUAGGUAGCAGUAGCUUGUGUGCUAGCAGCGACAACAGGCGUUUCAGGCACGAAGCACAUCUCCAAAGGCUACGCCAUAGUAGUACUGGUUUUAAUGUGUAUAUAUGCUGCUGGUUUUGGUUGGUCAUGGGGUCCUCUAAGCUGGCUAAUCCCAAGUGAAAUAUUUCCUAUGAAAAUUAGACCUGCAGGUCAAAGUUUAAGUGUGGCUGUAAAUUUCGCAACCACAUUUGUUCUAUCACAGACGUUCCUGACCAUGCUAUGUCACUUCAAAUAUGGGACGUUCUUAUUCUAUGCUGGUUGGAUAGCCCUGAUGACAUUUUUUGUUGUAUUUUUCUUGCCAGAGACGCGAGGAAUUCCUCUGGAUUCAAUGUAUCAAGUGUGGGAGAAGCACUGGUACUGGCGUCGGUUUGUUCAAGGGAAAUUGUAGGCAAAAGUUUGCUUUACAAUUAUGGUUUUAAUCUGGUUACAGCCUUUAUGGGAAUAACAUUUUGUUAAGACAGUGUUAGAGAGCUUAAUUAUAUUUUAUACAGUAUAAAUGACACAAAAAAUUCAACAUUCUAUAUGUAUAAUUGUCUUAUUUUAUUUCUAUUUUUGGUCCCUCCAAACGUUAAAAUCUACAUCCAUCUAAGAAUGGAAGGUGUGCAUAAUUUAAGCUACGAACCCCACAAACAUCAUAAUUUGGGGCAAUUAUUAUUUAAUCCUCCCACAAGAUAGCAACCAAAGUUGGUUCAGUUCCCGUUCCAUCUUAUGCGACGAAUCAUAAGCCAAACCUUAUAUCAAUAUAUGAACCCUAGUUCUUUGUAAUAAUUUCAUAACUUCGCUGUGUCGUAAUAGCCGGUGGAUGUUUUGCUGUUAACGCCCCUGCUAAUGGCUUCAAUGACAAAAUAACAAUAUCAACAGUAACAUUUAAAAAAAAAAAAAAAAAAAAAACAUUUUUUCAUUUGAUUGGUGCAUGGGUGGUCCGCUAAACCAGGUCUAAGCAAAAAAUUUCUAAAUAAUAACAUCCCUGAUACUCCUUUUGAGUAUAAGUGUUUUCACUAAUUUGAUAAAUUUAAUAGAGGGUUAUUCAUGUUGCUCUUGUUUUCACUAAUUUGGAAUAUAUGGUUACAUUAUUUCUAUUACAAGUACAGUGUAAUUAAUUUCUUCUAUCUUUUUUGAAUUGCCCAACUUUUCAUAAGAAAAAAAUAAAGAUGAAAAUGGAUAAACAAUGGUAAUAGUUUACUUAUAUACUUAGUCUUAUGCCGCAUGUGCGGGGUUAAUAUUUAUAAAUAAUUGAUAUAAAUUAAAUUUGAUUGAAAAAUAUAAAUAAAUUAAUAUGACGGAAAAAAAUAAUAAUUUUCAUUCACUCUUUUUUUUUUAUUUUUUUGUGACUAUAAUAAUAAAAACUACUAAUCCAAUUUUUUCUAUAAAUUUGAAAAUGAUAAAGAAAUUCUACACUAAUAAAUUAAAAACAAUAAACUCACUUUCUUACCUAAACUAAAAAUAAUAAACAUAAAAAUUGCAUUUGCAAAUUAAAAUAAUUACUCAAACCAUAAAAUUACCUGAAUGUAAAAGAAAAGAAACUUUAGGAAUCGUUAAUCAUAUAUGUCUUUUCUCGAGAUAUAAAUUUUUAUUACUAUCUAAAAAUAUGUUAAACAUAAAAAAGAAAAUAAGAAUUUGUAAGAUAAAUAUAAGAGAUGUAGUACUUCUAUACAUAGUACUCAAAAGGGAAUUAAAAAAUAGGAUAAUUAAAUUAUAAAAUAGUAAAAUAUUACAUCAAUUUAUAGUUUGGUUAUUAAUUAUUGGAAAAACUAAUUAGUAUUCUAUUAUUAGUACACAAAAUCUAUUAUUUAUAUUAUUAAUCAUUGCAACAGAAAAAAAAAGCUUUUAUUAUUGAAAUAAAUUUAUUAUAUGGUUAUUAAUUAUUGAAUAAAGAAAAUAAAAAGUUUAUAAUUUGAUUUCUUCAAAUUAGAUAAUUAAAUAAAAAUUUUAAAAAUAAUAAAUUUCACAUCAUUAAUUAGGUUUCAUAAUAUCAUGCUAUGUAAGCAAAUUUAAUUGAGUUUUUAUAUAUUUAUAUAGAUAAAUAUAUGCUAAAAGCUAAUAUAGCAGUACUUCUAUUUGGAAAAAAAAAAAAAACAAACAAACAAACACAAAAAUAACGUUGAGAGUAAUAUUAUUUGGGGGUGUAUGACCAAAAUAAUGUGUUUGUAAAACUAUUUAUAGAAAUAAUAUGAUUUUAAUCAUUAUAAUUUUUUAUUGAGGAAUUUCAAAAAAUUUCAAGAAACAUGAAAAUGUAUAUGGUACGUGAGAUUCAGUAUGACUAAAAAACGAUUCAUUAUAACAGAAUCCGAUUUUCUUUAUUCCCUAAUUUCUCUAUUUUAAUCAAACAUGCUCUCUCUCACUCUGAGACGGCGAAACCCACCAAUGCUACUGUUUUACCUCCCCUCCAAUGCUAAAACGCUUCAUCAAGAAGGCUUGGGAGUCCCAAUCCUCUUUAGGUAAACCUAUCUCUCUUUCUCUUCCUUCUUAGAUAUUAAAAUUUCAAAUUUGUCUUCUCUCUUCAAAAACAUUUUCUCUUUCUUUCUUUCUCCCUGUUGACGACCUCUCUCUCCGAUCUAUUUUGUGCAGUACCUUUUAGAGAGAGCAAAGGGUACACAUCUCAUGUACAUCUCUUUUAUUUGCUUAAUUUUAUAUUAUGUGCAUGAGAACUCUGAGUUAUGAAUCUCUUGAUUUGCUUUUGUCUUACUAAAUUAAGAUCAUUGCAUGUGCUCAUCUAUUGAUUUUGACCCAUCUGAUGAAUUGAAAGAAUUGAAACUGAAAAGCAAGUCAAAACUCUGAUGGUGGUGAUGAUUUGGUAAGUGGUUGAUUUGUCAAGAGAUAAAGCCUCGCAAAAGUGCUUAUUUUGCCAAAAAAUAUAUAUAUAUAUGUUUAAAAAGCCUUCUUUUCCAUUGUCUUUUUGGAUACUGUAGAAAAGAUGAGAAUCCUUUAUGAUUUUGACCAUCGUGAAGCUUUUUCAGCUUCUUUCUCAAAUGGGUAUCCAAUAAUUUUUUUAUAUUAUUAUCUUUUUCUUUAUGGAAAAUAAGAUGAUAUGGCUUGGCUGCUUCCAUAAAUAAAAUAAAAUUGCCAAACAUGCAAUCGUGAACUGCCAUAUGUUGAGUAAGGGAACGUGCUUCUAAUAAGUCUUUUAUAUUGUGCCUAAUCCCAGAGUUAGUUCGAUUGAUUAAAAUUUUAAUCUAUCAAUUUUAUUUUAUUUAUGGAAGCAGUACGCAAAUUAAUUAAGGAAUGGAUCUUUUUUUUUUUUUUAUUGAAUUCAAUUUUCUAUGUCCACUCAGCUUGACAAAUCAUCAAUUGCCACAUAAGUUGAAGACACUUAAUUAAAAGCUUUUAGGAGAUUAAACACCUGCUAAUAUUUUCGCUGAGACACCAAAAUGAAAAAUUUUGAUAAGUUUAGACACUAAACUUAUUUGUUUCUACUUUCUAGGAAUUUCUUGUAUAUAUAUUCUUGUCAAAAAAAAAACUGUAAUUAUAUCAAAAAAUUUUUUUUUGGUAAAUAAUAUCAAGAAUUGUAGAACAAAAUUUUUCAAUUAAUAAUCAAAUGAUAGAGCCUCAAUUUAGUGCAGAAUCUCAAUAAUUCAGAUUUGUACAACCUUCUCUUUUUAAAAUUGUGAUGUUUUAAAAAACAAUUGCAUGCAAAACUUAAUAACCUAAGAAAAAUACAAAUUUAAUCAAAAGAUGACGCUUAUCGGCCCCCACCAGUUCUGCUUAUUUGUAUUUUGACCUCUCCAAUGUUUAAAUUUUAACUCCAUAUUUCUUUUUUAUUUUUUUUUUCAUUUAUCGGAAAGUUUAAUGGGUCGAUUAAUGCCUGGAAAUAAAUAUUGUGAGCUGUAGAAAACCGCUGCCUCCUUAUCUCACCAAUUAACUAAUUAAAUAAGAAUAUUUAUAGUGAAGAAGACUCAAACAGAGGUAAUUUUCUUAUCACUUCAAUAAUGAUAAAAAGAAUGAGAUGAAGGGAUAACAAGACCAAGGGAGUAUUAUCGUGGUAUAAAUGUUGUAACAAAUUAAAAAUAAUGCAUGAAAAAAAAAAACAAUAAUGCAUGAGCUUUUCAUAUCUCUGUGACUGUUUUACCAAUAAAACAAGUGCAUAUACAAGAGAAAGCACCGAGUAAUUCCUCCGUCCACCCUUUUCAGGAAACUUGGCUAUAAAAUGCAUUUUUCAACCUCGUUAGCUAUAGCUAGGUGCAUCUUUUUUUGUUGCUCUGUUUUAACUUCAACAAAAGCUGGACCCUGUUCGGAUUGAAGGAAAUGGCUGUCGGAGGUUUUGCUGUUGACGGGCCUGCCAAUGGCUUUAACGGCAAGAUAACAGUAUCAGUUGUGAUUACUUGCAUUGUAGCUGCAUCUAGCGGCCUCAUCUUUGGCUAUGACAUUGGAAUUUCAGGUAUUUUUGUUUUUGUUCAUUAACAUCUUCAAAUUAAUCCGCUACUGUUUUGUUUUUUUUUUCCCCCUUUAAAGGGAAUAUAUCAACAGUUAAUUGGUUUGAUCUUGUGUAUUCACUUCCGUAGCUGUCAGAUUUUGAAAGUUUGAACCUAGGAAAUGGCGAAAAUAACUAAAAAGGUAUAGUCUUUGAAAUUUUUGCAUUACAGGAGGUGUAACAACAAUGAAGCCAUUUCUCAAGAAAUUCUUCCCAUCAGUAUUGAGGAAGGCAUCGGAGGCCAAAACAAACAUGUACUGCGUAUAUGAUAGCCAGGUGUUGACAGCAUUCACAUCAUCUUUAUAUAUAGCUGGGUUAAUUUCUUCCCUUGUAGCUAGCCGUCUCGCUGCCACAAUAGGCCGCAAGAAUACCAUGGUGCUAGGUGGCUGCACUUUCCUUGCCGGCGCUGCCAUGAAUGGUGGAGCUGCCAACAUUGCCAUGCUCAUCCUAGGACGCGUCUUGCUUGGUUUUGGAGUUGGCUUCACGAACCAGGUUAAUUAAUGCUAUAAAUUUCAUACUUUGGUAUAAUAUGAGAACAUUUAAUUACUAACAACGUGAAACGGGUUAAAAUGAAGGCAAGUCCUAUUUACCUAUCAGAGGUGGCACCACCAAAAUGGCGAGGCGCAUUCAACACAGGAUUCCAAUUUUUCAUCGGCAUUGGUGUAGCAUCGGCUAAUGUUAUAAAUUAUGCUACAUCUAAGCAUAGUUGGGGCUGGCGUCUCUCCCUUGGCCUUGCCGUAGUACCUGCAGCUCUAAUGACAAUCGGUGCACACCUUAUUUCAGACACUCCUAGUAGCCUGGUAGAACGUGGAAAACUUGAGCAAGC
RNAcentral lists this long non-coding RNA (6002 nucleotides) under Jatropha curcas. RNAcentral's name for it is "long non-coding RNA (JCUR_LNC000872)". The record is from RNAcentral. Lineage: Eukaryota; Viridiplantae; Streptophyta; Magnoliopsida; Malpighiales; Euphorbiaceae.